Molecule: ribosomal RNA, 440 nt
Filed under: uncultured bacterium
Lineage: Bacteria
Description: partial 16S ribosomal RNA
Rfam family: Bacterial small subunit ribosomal RNA
Source: RNAcentral
CCUACGUGAGGCAGCAGUGGGGAAUAUUGCACAAUGGGGGAAACCCUGAUGCAGCGACGCCGCGUGAGUGAAGAAGUAUUUCGGGAUGUAAAGCUCUAUCAGCAGGGAAGAAAAUGACGGUACCUGAUUAAGAAGCGCCGGCUAACUACGUGCCAGCAGCCGCGGUAAUACGUAGGGGGCAAGCGUUAUACGGAUCUACUGGGUGUAAAGGGAGCGUAGACGGCAGCACAAGUCUGGAGUGAAAUGCCGGGGCUUAACCCCGGGACUGCUUUGGAAACUGUGCAGCUAGAGUGCAGGAGAGGUAAGUGGAAUUCCUAGUGUAGCGGUGAAAUGCGUAGAUAUUAGGAGGAACACCAGUGGCGAAGGCGGCUUACUGGACUGUAACUGACGUUGAGGCUCGAAAGCGUGGGGAGCAAACAGGAUUAGAUACCCCUGUAGUC